CUUUCUUCUCCACCCAUUGGAACCUUCCAUUGAAAUAAAAUGAAGAUGUUUGGAAGUUCAAAUUAAACUGCCCAUAACUCUAAUAUUAAGUAAAGCACCGAUACACUAGUUAUGUAGAGGGAUCAAUAAUCUCAGCUAUUGAAAACCCCAAAUCACUUCUAGUUCAAAUGAAAAGCAUGGGAACCCUGUGACGAGAUAAAGCCUACAGAUUCCAGGACGUAAGAGCUGCAUGGACACAAAGAUAGAUGUUACAAUAUGGUCCCUGUGCCCAAGAAGAUCAGAAGGUGGAAAUAACAUGUAAACAAAUUACAAGGUGAGAAAUGUCAUGGGAAGCAUCUAUCAAGUACUACAGUUGAGGAGGAAGAAGUAAUGAG
Molecule: long non-coding RNA, 374 nt
Organism: Lynx canadensis (Canada lynx)
Lineage: Eukaryota; Metazoa; Chordata; Mammalia; Carnivora; Felidae
Exons: 2
Source: RefSeq, a predicted model, not a curated record